AGAGUUUGAUCCUGGCUCAGGACGAACGCUGGCGGCACGCCUAACACAUGCAAGUCGAGCGGAGAUUGAGAGCUUGCUCUCAUGAUCAGCGGCGGACGGGUGAGUAACACGUGAGCAACCUGCCUUUCAGAGGGGGACAACAGUUGGAAACGACUGCUAAUACCGCAUAACAUUGCCGAACGGCAUCGUUUGGCAAUCAAAGGAGCAAUCCGCUGAAAGAUGGGCUCGCGU
This 231-nucleotide ribosomal RNA is filed under the name uncultured bacterium. Its description in RNAcentral is "partial 16S ribosomal RNA". It matches the Rfam family "Bacterial small subunit ribosomal RNA", at positions 8 to 236 of the family's 1533-position model. The record is from RNAcentral.